This 864-nucleotide long non-coding RNA is filed under the name Callithrix jacchus (white-tufted-ear marmoset). Its description in RNAcentral is "lncRNA (ENSCJAG00000080777.1)". Lineage: Eukaryota; Metazoa; Chordata; Mammalia; Primates; Cebidae. The record is from RNAcentral.
AGAGGGUGAGGAGCUGACUGGAAGCAUCAUUCUCCAGGAUGUCAGAGUCUCCUUGGAAGAGCCCUAAUUAAGGACUCAGAAUGAUUGACAGGUGGUGGAAGCUCGAGAAAGCACACUUGAUAUGCAGCGGAAGACAGUCUCUGAGUUGCAAAAAACCUGGCAAUUGGAGACCUUGAAAAACUUUUGCUUAACAGAACGCAUGACUGGGAGGCAUCAGGAAACUUACAAUCAUAGCAGAAGGCAAAGGGAAAACAAGCAUGUCUUACCAUGGUGGAGCAGGAGAGAGGGAGAGAGAAGGGGUAAGUGCCACAUACUUUCAAACCAUCAGAUCUCAUGAGAACACAUCCACUAUCAUGAAAAAAGCAAGGGGAAAAUCUUCCCCUGUGAUCUGGUCACGUCCAACCGGGCCCCUUCUCUAGUUUGACAUGAGAUUUGGGCAUGGACACAAAUCCAAAUUAUAUCACUUACUGAGACACCUAAUUACUGACUGUCUUCCAAGAUACCUGGAUAUCUGGAAUAAGGCCCUAAAUAGGAGGCAGAAGCAGGUCAGUCAAGAACAUCAUUACUAAAACCAUAAUACAUGGAGCUCCUGGGACCACACAUUGGUGUUUCAAGGGCUUGGCCAGAAAGAGUCUGUCCUUGAGAACCUGGCCAAUUCUGUGUACCUGGACAGGAGUGAGUUUAUGCUCUGAAAUGCUGAGAACCAGAUCCUGAGUGCUAUUAGCCCCACCGAGGCAGUAUUGCCAAGUGACAUUAUUUGGGUACCCAGGUAGCCUCCCUUUCUGAGAUCUGCAGCUCUGUAACUUCCAACUGUGUACAGCACACUGCCCAAGUAGGCACUCAAUGCACACUCUUUGGUUUGAC